ACAUACGUCGGAUAAAGGUGUUACACAGAUGACAAAACCGUCCCUACCCUGAGCAGUGUAAGAAGACAGCUGAGAAAAGAACUG
RNAcentral lists this long non-coding RNA (84 nucleotides) under Struthio camelus australis. RNAcentral's name for it is "lncRNA (ENSSCUG00000001797.1)". The record is from RNAcentral. Lineage: Eukaryota; Metazoa; Chordata; Aves; Struthioniformes; Struthionidae.